RNAcentral lists this ribosomal RNA (1335 nucleotides) under Listeria monocytogenes. RNAcentral describes it as "partial 23S ribosomal RNA". It matches the Rfam family "Bacterial large subunit ribosomal RNA", at positions 408 to 1742 of the family's 2925-position model. The record is from RNAcentral. Lineage: Bacteria; Bacillati; Bacillota; Bacilli; Caryophanales; Listeriaceae.
CUGAGUACGGCGGAACACGUGAAAUUCCGUCGGAAUCCGGGAGGACCAUCUCCCAAGGCUAAAUACUCCCUAGUGACCGAUAGUGAACCAGUACCGUGAGGGAAAGGUGAAAAGCACCCCGGAAGGGGAGUGAAACAGUUCCUGAAACCGUGUGCCUACAAGUAGUUAGAGCCCGUUAAUGGGUGAUAGCGUGCCUUUUGUAGAAUGAACCGGCGAGUUACGAUUUGUUGCAAGGUUAAGCGGAAAAAGCGGAGCCGUAGCGAAAGCGAGUCUGAAUAGGGCGCAUAAGUAACAGGUCGUAGACCCGAAACCAGGUGAUCUACCCAUGUCCAGGAUGAAGGUAAGGUAAUACUUACUGGAGGUCCGAACCCACGCACGUUGAAAAGUGCGGGGAUGAGGUGUGGGUAGCGGAGAAAUUCCAAUCGAACUUGGAGAUAGCUGGUUCUCUCCGAAAUAGCUUUAGGGCUAGCCUCGAGGUAAAGAGUCAUGGAGGUAGAGCACUGUUUGGACUAGGGGCCCUUCUCGGGUUACCGAAUUCAGAUAAACUCCGAAUGCCAUGUACUUAUACUCGGGAGUCAGACUGCGAGUGAUAAGAUCCGUAGUCGAAAGGGAAACAGCCCAGACCACCAGUUAAGGUCCCCAAAUAUAUGUUAAGUGGAAAAGGAUGUGGGGUUGCUUAGACAACCAGGAUGUUGGCUUAGAAGCAGCCACCAUUGAAAGAGUGCGUAAUAGCUCACUGGUCGAGUGACCCCGCGCCGAAAAUGUACCGGGGCUAAACAUAUUACCGAAACUGUGGAUGAACCUCUUUAGAGGUUCGUGGUAGGAGAGCGUUCUAAGGGCGGUGAAGUCAGACCGGAAGGACUGGUGGAGCGCUUAGAAGUGAGAAUGCCGGUAUGAGUAGCGAAAGAAGGGUGAGAAUCCCUUCCACCGAAUAUCUAAGGUUUCCUGAGGAAGGCUCGUCCGCUCAGGGUUAGUCGGGACCUAAGCCGAGGCCGAUAGGCGUAGGCGAUGGACAACAGGUAGAGAUUCCUGUACCAGUGCUAAUUGUUUAACCGAUGGGGUGACACAGAAGGAUAGGGAAUCGCACGAAUGGAAAUGUGCGUCCAAGCAGUGAGUGUGAGAAGUAGGCAAAUCCGCUUCUCGCGAAGCAUGAGCUGUGAUGGGGAAGGAAAUUAAGUACGGAAGUUCCUGAUUUCACGCUGUCAAGAAAAGCCUCUAGGAAGAGUAGUACUGCCCGUACCGCAAACCGACACAGGUAGAUGAGGAGAGAAUCCUAAGGUGAGCGAGAGAACUCUCGUUAAGGAACUCGGCAAAAUGACCCCGUAACUUCGGGAG